Molecule: ribosomal RNA, 241 nt
Filed under: uncultured bacterium
Lineage: Bacteria
Description: partial 16S ribosomal RNA
Rfam family: Bacterial small subunit ribosomal RNA
Source: RNAcentral
UGAUGUGGAGCAAAUCUCAAAACUACGGUCUCAGUUCAGAUUGCAGGCUGCAACUCGCCUGCAUGAAGUUGGAAUUGCUAGUAAUCGCGAAUCAGAAUGUCGCGGUGAAUACGUUCCCGGGCCUUGUACACACCGCCCGUCACACCAUGAGAGUUGGGAAUACCCGAAGCCUGUGAGCUAACGUAAGAGGCAGCAGUCGAAGGUAGAAUCAAUGAUUGGGGUGAAGUCGUAACAAGGUACC